GAAAUGCGAUAAGUAGUGUGAAUUGCAGAAUUCAGUGAAUCAUCGAAUCUUUGAACACACAUUGCGCCCUUUGGUAUUCCAAAGGGCAUGCCUGUUCGAGCGUCAUUUGUACCCUCAAGCUUUGCUUGGUGUUGGGCGUCUUGUCUCCAGUUCGCUGGAGACUCGCCUUAAAGUAAUUGGCAGCCGGCCUACUGGUUUCGGAGCGCAGCACAAGUCGCGCUCUCUUCCAGCCAAGGUCAGCAUCCACAAAGCCUUUUUUCAACUUUUGACCUCGGAUCAGGUAGGGAUACCCGCUGAACUUAAGC
RNAcentral lists this unclassified non-coding RNA (305 nucleotides) under plant metagenome. Its description in RNAcentral is "partial contains 5.8S ribosomal RNA, internal transcribed spacer 2, and large subunit ribosomal RNA". The stretch from base 1 to 105 matches the Rfam family "5.8S ribosomal RNA", at positions 50 to 154 of the family's 154-position model. The record is from RNAcentral.